Cyanistes caeruleus (blue tit) is the source of this 1668-nucleotide non-coding RNA. NCBI's taxonomy places the organism in Eukaryota, Metazoa, Chordata, Aves, Passeriformes, Paridae. The record is from RefSeq and is a predicted model, not a curated record.
AGCCCGGCACAGCCCGGCACAGCCCGGCACAGCCCGGCGUUCCCGCGGGAAAGCCGCGGAUCCCCGGGGAUGCCGGGAGCUCCCCGUGCUGCUGCUGGCAAAUCCUUCACCCCUUGGCCUGCUUGCCUUGCACAGCUCCACGCUGCUUUCCUUCCUCUUGGUGCUUCGAGCUGGGGUUUCUCCCGGGAAGGGUGAAAUGAUCCAGGUUUUGGGGCGGUUCUGGGGUCUCCAGGUGUUCUGGGGUCCCCGGGUGCUCUGGGGUCUCCAGGUGUUCUGGGGUCUCCAGGUGUUCUGGGGUCUCCAGGUGCUCUGGGGUCUCCGGGUGCUCUGGGGUCUCCGGGUGCUCUGGGGUCUCCAGGUGCUCUGGGGUCUCCGGGUGUUCUGGGGUCUCCGGGUGCUCUGGGGUCUCCAGGUGCUCUGGGGUCUCCAGGUGUUCUGGGGUCCCCGGGUGUUCUGGGGUCCCCAGGUGUUCUGGGGUCUCCAGGUGUUCUGGGGUCUCCAGCAGAGCGAAGCACCGAGGGGAGAGCCCAAACCAGAGCUUGGAGCAGGGCAGGAGAAGCAGAGUGUGCUGGAGCACGGAGCCUCAGGGCUGGCAGCCUCUAACUUAUUACAGGAAAUAAUUGAUCCGUGGCAAUGAAUCCGGGAGUGAAUCAAUCAGAAUAAAACCACUCAAUGGGAGGAGUUUUCUCGCUCCAGUUUUCACCUUCCCUUUGCCUUUGGAGGUGGUAGUUGGACCUUCCCUGAGUAGUUUGGUGCAGUAGCCAACUGAGGAAUAACCCCUUGUUUUUAGUCCCUCUUUUUGGAGCAUAUACUUUGUACUUUUUAAAAUGAAGAAAACAAACAAAAAAAAAAUUUAAAAAAAAAAAAUAAAGUAGGUAGCGAAGAAGUGCUAGAAUUUGGGAUUGGGUUGGGAUGGCUGGGAUGGGAAUGGCAGAACUACCUCUGGACAGCCGGGGCCAGCUCCUGUCACCCCCCUGCGGCUGGAGGGGCGGGGAAGGGAGCAGCUGCAGCAGGCAGAGCUGGGAGCACUCCAGAGCUGCUGCUGGGGAACCUCCAGCUGCCAAAACUGGGGGAAAAAUCCUGCAAAAAAUCCUUUUCUGCCCGUGGUCGGGGUUCUCUGCCCUCGCCCUGGCCCAGGAGCAUUUGGGAUUUCCCUGCCCGGGGUCUGGAUGCUGCUCCUUGAUUUCAGGGGUGCCUUUUGUCCGGGUGGGGGUUGAGCUUGGGCUGGAGAGAGGCUCCCAAGAACUCUGGAACCUCCAGAACCACUUCCACUGUUUCAAAAUCAAGGAUUUGCCAGGUCUUCCAGCAUGACCCCACGCUCCACAGAGAGCGGCCGGGGCCUUCCCAUUCCCCUUCCCAAGGCUUCCUUCCCCUCCGGGGUCUUUGGGGUGAGCGUGGGGUUUCUGGUGCAGCCCUUAGUCCAGUUUAGAGUAACCUCAGGUUGUUUUUAGCGUGAGCUAUUCCCAGGAUCCAGGUGGAGACUAUUUUUUACUGUCCUAGUGCUGAUCCUGCCGAGGACCUGGAUCCUGGACUUGUUUUGUUUCUGUAUAAAUAAUCCCUGUGCCCACUUUUUCACCUGAUCUCUGUAUAGGGCCGGUUUGAUUCCUGCAGCAGCCACCCAAUUUUGUGAAAUAAAAGCAAAAAACAGCGGUUUUUGUACAAAGCCUG